RNA transcript from Nicotiana tabacum (common tobacco), 2070 nucleotides. It is a transcript of the gene named calmodulin-binding protein 60 A, with no coding region annotated. NCBI's taxonomy places the organism in Eukaryota, Viridiplantae, Streptophyta, Magnoliopsida, Solanales, Solanaceae. The record is from RefSeq and is a predicted model, not a curated record.
CCUAUUCACUUUCAUAACCCCAAUCAUAAACUACUUUACAUUUGUUCUAACUACUACUUAUCCAAAACCUUUUGAGUUUUAUACCUUUAUACUUUACAUGAAUGACAUAAUGUCGAAUUCUCAGGAUCAGGAAUUAGGAACACAGAACAGCAAUUCAGAGGAUGAGCUGUUAACCUUUUUCUCUUCACCAACUAUGAAGAAAUUGCUGGAGGUGAUGGUUAUCCAGACCUUUGACCGCGUUUUGAAGCCAAAGUUGGAGAAUUCGAUUCGUAAUGUUGUAAAACACGAACUUGAACUGGCAGAGAAGAAGUUUUUGACUGCCAAGGGAAACACUGAGAAAGGUAUUCAAGCUCCCAAACCAAGAAGCUUGAAGUUAAAGUUCUUGACAAAGGUAUCCGACCCUGUACUUACCGGAGUGGAAAUUAAAGGAGAAGGAGGUAAUGCUAUUGAAGUGGCUUUAAUUGAUGAUAAUACUGGAGAAAUUGUUGAAUCUGGACCAGAAGCCUCAGCUAAAGUGGAAAUAGUUGUUCUUAAGGGAGAAUUUGGAGAUGAUGAUGGAUGUAAUUGGAGAGCUGAAGAGUUCUGUAGAAAUAUUGUCAGUGAGAGGAAAGGAAAUAAGUCUCUUCUUGCAGAAACUGUACAUGUGAGACUCAAUAAAGGCGUUGGUUCUAUAGAUCAGCUCAGAUUUACACAUUCUUCAAUCUAUAUGAGGACGGGUAUGUUCAGGCUAGGUGCAAGAAUUGUUGACACUUUCAAUAAUGUUCAAGUAAAAGAAGCAAGGACUGAAUCUUUCACUGUCAAGGAUGGGCGCCAGCAAUAUUAUGAGAAGCAUGAUCCACCAUCUCUAUCCGAUGGGGUACAUCGGUUAAUAAACGUAGGCAGAGGCAGUAAGAAGAACCUCAGGGUUGAAAAUGUCAACACAGUAGAGGACUUUCUGAUUUUGCUCCUCAAAGACCAUGACCGUCUCAUAUGUGUACUUAAUCUAAAGCCAAGACAAUUGGAGGAGACAUUAAGCCAUGCUCGAAGAUGCAUAAUUAAUGAACGGAUGUACUCUUUUAUUGACUUUCAAGAAAAGGAAGGUGUGGUUUUUAACAUUGUUGGAGAGGUGCUAGGGCUUAUUCUGGAGUCCCAUUAUCUACCUAUGCAUCAGUUAUCUGAAAGUGAUAAGGCUAAGGCUCAGAGGCUGCUAGUAUCUGCAUGUGAACAUUGGGAUCAUGUGAUACCGGUUGAUGAUGAGACAUCUCUUGUGCAAUAUCUUUCUCAAAAAUCGCCAUCAAUGAACCCUUUCAAUUCUCCAAGUCGAGAGGUUCCUAGCACCAAUAACGGUGUUGAGAAUUUAAGAAUAAGUGAUGGACAUUGUCAUACCUCCAGAGUUGCAAGUGCAGUCAGUCUGAAUGGUUGUGGUUCCACCAGUAUCAGUAACCUAGAUUUCUCUAACUUCCCAAUAUAUAGUCCUACAUUCCAAGAUAUUUUGAUUAACGAAUUCAACUUUGGGUGUGAAGACUUUGGUUUUGAAUCCGAUGUUCAUCAACCUCAUGAUGGUUCUGCCCCUAUGGUAAAAGCGCAGAGGCGGUGGAGAUUGUUGUUCGGUGUCUUAAUAUUGCUCUGUGCAAAAAGAAGAGCUGCAGCAUUAGAUAUUCAAGUUCUGAAGAAGCGGAAAGUCAUUUGAUUCUGUGGCUUUAGCCUGUUACUAUAGAGUUUGACAGCAGGUGGAGCUCCAAGAGCCAGUCAAGAAAGGAAAACUAAAGUCGCAUGGGGAAGUACUAAUUGACUUGUUGAGAAAAUAGUCAACAAGUUGCAUUGGAUAGAACUGCAACAAAAAGAAAUGAUGGUGUUCAUCUGGUAAUUUUGUAGAGACGACACAGGAGGAAAAAGCUGAAUGCAUAAAUAGGUCCAAAUAUUUAUGGAUCUGAAGCCAGUACAUGAUGCAACCGGCAUAUCAAUUGAAAGGCUGAGAAAGGAAUACGGGUUCUAUAAAGGGGAUAGCUCUUUAUCUGGAGACUUCUUUAUAUGGACAGUUGGAAACAUAACAAUCAAAUGGGAUUAACCUGUUAUCUGAAGACGAUACUU